Molecule: ribosomal RNA, 940 nt
Filed under: Lacticaseibacillus sp.
Lineage: Bacteria; Bacillati; Bacillota; Bacilli; Lactobacillales; Lactobacillaceae
Description: bacterial SSU rRNA
Rfam family: Bacterial small subunit ribosomal RNA
Source: RNAcentral
UUAUUGGGCGUNAGCGAGCGCAGGCGGUUUUUUAAGUCUGAUGUGAAAGCCCUCGGCUUAACCGAGGAAGCGCAUCGGAAACUGGGAAACUUGAGUGCAGAAGAGGACAGUGGAACUCCAUGUGUAGCGGUGAAAUGCGUAGAUAUAUGGAAGAACACCAGUGGCGAAGGCGGCUGUCUGGUCUGUAACUGACGCUGAGGCUCGAAAGCAUGGGUAGCGAACAGGAUUAGAUACCCUGGUAGUCCAUGCCGUAAACGAUGAAUGCUAGGUGUUGGAGGGUUUCCGCCCUUCAGUGCCGCAGCUAACGCAUUAAGCAUUCCGCCUGGGGAGUACGACCGCAAGGUUGAAACUCAAAGGAAUUGACGGGGGCCCGCACAAGCGGUGGAGCAUGUGGUUUAAUUCGAAGCAACGCGAAGAACCUUACCAGGUCUUGACAUCUUUUGAUCACCUGAGAGAUCAGGUUUCCCCUUCGGGGGCAAAAUGACAGGUGGUGCAUGGUUGUCGUCAGCUCGUGUCGUGAGAUGUUGGGUUAAGUCCCGCAACGAGCGCAACCCUUAUGACUAGUUGCCAGCAUUUAGUUGGGCACUCUAGUAAGACUGCCGGUGACAAACCGGAGGAAGGUGGGGAUGACGUCAAAUCAUCAUGCCCCUUAUGACCUGGGCUACACACGUGCUACAAUGGAUGGUACAACGAGUUGCGAGACCGCGAGGUCAAGCUAAUCUCUUAAAGCCAUUCUCAGUUCGGACUGUAGGCUGCAACUCGCCUACACGAAGUCGGAAUCGCUAGUAAUCGCGGAUCAGCACGCCGCGGUGAAUACGUUCCCGGGCCUUGUACACACCGCCCGUCACACCAUGAGAGUUUGUAACACCCGAAGCCGGUGGCGUAACCCUUUUAGGGAGCGAGCCGUCUAANNGGGANAAUGAUUNGGUGAAGUCGUACA